This is a long non-coding RNA of Vespula pensylvanica (western yellowjacket), 1762 nucleotides long. RefSeq lists it as uncharacterized. The transcript is spliced from 2 exons. Lineage: Eukaryota; Metazoa; Arthropoda; Insecta; Hymenoptera; Vespidae. The record is from RefSeq and is a predicted model, not a curated record.
AGAGAGAAAUGUUCUUUCUUCUUUUUUUUUUUUUUUUAAAUUUUUUUCUUUUUUUUCUUUUUUAGUUACUCGCCGUGAAGAAGUCUUUUACGAGACGAAACUUUUUUUUUUUUAAUAUUUCGUGCUGUAGAUAGUGUGUAUCCCGCAGUGUAGCGCGCGUGUAUAUAAACGUACUCGCACCUACGUUCAAAAAAAAAAAAAAAAAAAAAAAGAAAAGAAAAAAAAAAAGAAAAUAAUACAGAAAAACAAAAAAAAAAAAGAACAAGAAAAAAGAUCACGUUUCUUGCGGUGAUAUUGUUGUUUGGAGAAAAAAGAAAAUAAAGUAAAUAGAUAAAAAAUAAGGAAAAAAUGUGGAAAAAGAAAAGAUAAAAAAAGAAACAAAAAAAAAAAAAAGAAUUACGCGAAGAUAAGGCGAAGAGUCCAAAGGAAAUCUCAUAUUGAAUUUUAAAUAAGACUUAAGUAAUAAGAGGGAUGAAUAAUAAUGAUCGUGGAUAAAACACGACCUUGCUGCCGUUAUGCAGCGAUCUAGGUCAUAAAACUCGUUAGGCGAUUUUUAAUAUAAUAUGGCUGAUUGCUGGAUAAAAAGUAUGGUUGUGAGUAAAACAUGCCUGAGAUCGAGAUUGUAAUUUUGUUACUACUACUCCUGUACACCUGUCCCAUAGAAGGACUGUUAUACAUAUAUUGUUACACAGUGAUAUUGUAUUCCAAGGAUUGAGUUUGUAUGCUUUAGUCCUAACUUUACGAAUUGGGUAAGAUGAUUUGGACCAAGAGCGACGAUCGAUGAUAUUGUCUCUAUGGUCAUGCAUUUUGCUGGGAACAGGCUGUAUCGUUAUAUCGUCAUGAUAUUCAUUAUUCCAAUGUAUAAUUCGAUAAUACAAAUGCUCUAUCUUGCUUUCCUUUCAUUACUUCUGUAAGAUAUUUAAAUAAGUAUAGAAACAAAUAAUUAGUCAAUGCUGCAUUUUUGAUAGAUUAAAAUAUUUGGUUCAUAAAACGCUUUGAUAUUUUCUGUUCGUUCAUUUUUCUUUUUUCCAACGUAACGUUCUCUCAACAUUAUUUAUAUUUCAUUCGUUAAAUGCAAUAUAAGCGCAGUCUGCGUGUAGAUCUCAAUUUUUGUACGAACGUUGUAAUAUUUUCAUUCACGCACACAACGUGUUGUGUUAAGAUUGAAAGAGUGUUUUGUUUUCUUUCUCUCUUUUUUUCUUUUUUUUUUCUUUUUUUUUUUUUUUUUUCAAACAAACAUAUUCAUGAUUUUUGAUCACAACUUCUUAUAUUACCGACAAUUAAAUUGUAGCUAUUUAUUCCACUUGAUAUCAAAGAAUUACCUGUGUGUUCAGUUAUGCAUAGUUUAUCGACAUAACAUUCAAUAAGAGAUGCUCAGCAAAUAAUAGCUAUUUUUAUGGAAUUGGCAGCUCGUGCUUGUUGGUAAUUUCAUCUGAGUAUGUAUGCAUGCGCAUUUGACAAAGAGAACUCAGAAAAACAUGCAGAUCUUUUUUGACAUACAUAUUUGUGAAAGUAAAUAUAAGGGGAGGGAGUCAGUGUAACUAAAUGUUAUUUUGUACAUAGAAAGGAAGCAUUGCACCAAGGGGAAAAAAUGCACAUAAGAAAAUAAAGAAAUGCUAAGAAAAGCCCAAAGUAAAGAGAGUGUAGUAGCUUCGACGUUCUCUCACUCCCUCACCAAUUGCGCGCGCGCGCACAUACCAUACACACACGUGUAUACAUAUAUAUGUAUAUAACAAUGAAUAAUAAACUGUGUAUUAUUAUA